Molecule: ribosomal RNA, 450 nt
Filed under: uncultured bacterium
Lineage: Bacteria
Description: partial 16S ribosomal RNA
Rfam family: Bacterial small subunit ribosomal RNA
Source: RNAcentral
GUGGGGAAUUUUGGACAAUGGGCGAAAGCCUGAUCCAGCAAUGCCGCGUGCAGGAUGAAGGCCCUCGGGUUGUAAACUGCUUUUGUACGGAACGAAAAGCCUGGGGCUAAUAUCCCCGGGUCAUGACGGUACCGUAAGAAUAAGCACCGGCUAACUACGUGCCAGCAGCCGCGGUAAUACGUAGGGUGCAAGCGUUAAUCGGAAUUACUGGGCGUAAAGCGUGCGCAGGCGGUUUUGUAAGACAGUGGUGAAAUCCACGGGCUCAACCUGGGAACUGCCAUUGUGACUGCAAGGCUAGAGUGCGGCAGAGGGGGAUGGAAUUCCGCGUGUAGCAGUGAAAUGCGUAGAUAUGCGGAGGAACACCGAUGGCGAAGGCAAUCCCCUGGGCCUGCACUGACGCUCAUGCACGAAAGCGUGGGGAGCAAACAGGAUUAGAUACCCCGGUAGUCC